This 253-nucleotide ribosomal RNA is filed under the name uncultured bacterium. RNAcentral's name for it is "partial 16S ribosomal RNA". It matches the Rfam family "Bacterial small subunit ribosomal RNA", at positions 524 to 776 of the family's 1533-position model. The record is from RNAcentral.
UACGUAGGUGACCAGCGUUGUCCGGAUUUACUGGGCGUAAAGAGCGCGCAGGCGGUCGGUCAAGUCGAGUGUGAAAGCCCCCGGCUCAACUGGGGAGGGUCACUCGAUACUGAUCGACUUGAAGGCAGGAGAGGGAAGCGGAAUUCCCGGUGUAGUGGUGAAAUGCGUAGAUAUCGGGAGGAACACCAGUGGCGAAGGCGGCUUCCUGGCCUGUUCUUGACGCUGAGGCGCGAAAGCUAGGGGAGCAAACGGG